This 73-nucleotide transfer RNA is filed under the name Labilithrix sp. Its description in RNAcentral is "tRNA-Arg". It matches the Rfam family "tRNA". Rfam says of the family: Transfer RNA (tRNA) molecules are approximately 80 nucleotides in length. Lineage: Bacteria; Pseudomonadati; Myxococcota; Polyangiales; Labilitrichaceae. The record is from RNAcentral.
GUCCUCGUGGCCGAGCGGAGAGGCGCCGGCCUCCUAAGCCGGUUCGACGCAGGUUCGACUCCUGCCGAGGACG